Long non-coding RNA from Mastomys coucha (southern multimammate mouse), 356 nucleotides. RefSeq lists it as uncharacterized. Lineage: Eukaryota; Metazoa; Chordata; Mammalia; Rodentia; Muridae. The transcript has 3 exons. The record is from RefSeq and is a predicted model, not a curated record.
UGUGGCCGUCUUUGCGCAUCAAACACGGAAUGAAAGACCACUUGUUGAGCUAUUGUCUCAGGGUGACUCGGAAAAUGACAGUAACAGCAAUGAUGCUGAAUGUCAUGCCUGGAGCUACACACUGAGCUGAAAGUUCUGCUGAAGAAAAGAGUGAGAGAUCUGCCCUAGAAGAUUCUACUAAAGAAACUUCUAAGCAUGUUUCCAGACACCACAGCAAGACCAAUAUUCCAUGUGAGUGGGAUUUAAGAAGCUGUCAUGCAUACUGUGUUUUCAGUUUCUCUCUGUAAUAUGUGGUCUAUUCUGUCUAAUGUUUUUCUUUCUAUGAUUUAAUUAUCUGAAUAAACACUCAAACAUCA